This 422-nucleotide ribosomal RNA is filed under the name uncultured bacterium. RNAcentral describes it as "bacterial SSU rRNA". It matches the Rfam family "Bacterial small subunit ribosomal RNA", at positions 8 to 433 of the family's 1533-position model. The record is from RNAcentral.
AGAGUUUGAUCCUGGCUCAGGACGAACGCUGGCGGCGUGCUUAACACAUGCAAGUCGAACGGUGAAGUCCCUUCGGGGGCGGAUCAGUGGCGAACGGGUGAGUAACACGUGGGCAAUCUGCCCCUCACUGUGGGAUAACUCCGGGAAACCGGGGCUAAUACCGCAUAUGAAGCCUGGCGGCAUCGCCGGGUUUGGAAAGUUUUUCGGUGAGGGAUGAGCCCGCGGCCUAUCAGCUUGUUGGUGAGGUAAUGGCUCACCAAGGCGACGACGGGUAGCCGGCCUGAGAGGGCGACCGGCCACACUGGGACUGAGACACGGCCCAGACUCCUACGGGAGGCAGCAGUGGGGAAUAUUGGGCAAUGGGCGAAAGCCUGACCCAGCGACGCCGCGUGCGGGGUGAAGGCCUUCGGGUUGUAAACCGC